RNAcentral lists this long non-coding RNA (931 nucleotides) under Bos indicus x Bos taurus (hybrid cattle). RNAcentral describes it as "lncRNA (ENSBIXG00005029084.1)". Lineage: Eukaryota; Metazoa; Chordata; Mammalia; Artiodactyla; Bovidae. The record is from RNAcentral.
GCAACAAUAUCACACACAGCUCCCCACAUAUGAGAGCUUGUUGUUCUUCUUGUUGCCAGGUCUGCGUGUUGGCUGUGGCUCAACUGGCCUUGACCAUUUUAGGACCCAGGCUGCAGAGGCAACACCUGGAGAAUGUUCUUCCCAUCAUGGGAGGCAGCAGCUCAAGAAAGAGAUGCUUCAGUGACCUGGCUAUGGAGAGAUGCCGCCUUGGCAGGGGAGGCUUGAAUUGGUCUUACUCUACUGUUUCAGGGCUUCUGUGCCUUGCACAUAAAAACAGGAAUAGAGUGAGCAAGACAUGAGAGCUGAAGGGCUCUUGAGGGGCCCCUGAGAAGGACGCAGAACCAGGAGACAGGAGUGUCAGCUGGGGGAAUUCUUGGAGCAGACGGAGGAGGGGGGAAGGGAAGCUGGACCAACAUGGACUGACCGCAGUGAAAGAGAAUUUCCCAGAAUCCUCUGGUGCUUGAUGGAAUCCCCGCUGCCAUUUCCCCAGUAAAGCCUCAGAAAAAAAAAAAUUAACUACAUGUUCCAUGUCUGUAGCUGUCACAUUACUAUUUUCUUUUGGAACGUGAUGGGGAAAAAAACGCAAGACUGGCCUCAGAGAGACCAUGGUGUGCACGCAAUGAUGGGCUGCCCAGGCGGGUAAAGUGAUACUCGGGUUACAGACACAAAGCAUCUCUUCUUGGCACCCAGGAGAAGGCAAUGGCACCCCACUCCAGUACUCUUGCCUGGAAAAUCCCAUGGACGGAGGAGCCUGGUAGGCUGUAGACCAUGGGGUGGCUAAGAGUCGGACACGACUGAGCGACUUCACUUUCACUUUUCACUUUUGUGCACUGGAGAAGGAAACGGCAAUCCACUUCCGUGUUCUUGCCUGGAGAAUCCCAGGGACGGGGGAGCCUGGUGGGCUGCCAUCUAUGGGGUCGCACAGAGUCGG